RNAcentral lists this ribosomal RNA (449 nucleotides) under uncultured bacterium. RNAcentral describes it as "partial 16S ribosomal RNA". It matches the Rfam family "Bacterial small subunit ribosomal RNA", at positions 29 to 523 of the family's 1533-position model. The record is from RNAcentral.
AACGAACGCUGGCGGCAUGCCUAACACAUGCAAGUCGAACGAAGGCUUCGGCCUUAGUGGCGCACGGGUGAGUAACGCGUGGGAAACUGCCUAUUGGUGGGGAAUAACGACGGGAAACUGUCGCUAAUACCGCAUAAGCCCUUCGGGGGAAAGAUUUCUCGCCGAUAGAUGUGCCCGCGUCCGAUUAGCUAGUUGGUGAGGUAAUGGCUCACCAAGGCGACGAUCGGUACCUGGUCUGAGAGGAUGAUCAGCCACACUGGGACUGAGACACGGCCCAGACUCCUACGGGAGGCAGCAGUGGGGAAUAUUGGACAAUGGGCGAAAGCCUGAUCCAGCAAUGCCGCGUGAGUGAUGAAGGCCUUAGGGUUGUAAAGCUCUUUCGGGUGGGACGAUGAUGACGGUACCACCUGAAGAAGCCCCGGCUGACUUCGUGCCAGCCGCCGCAGUAA